RNAcentral lists this long non-coding RNA (375 nucleotides) under Brassica napus (rape). Its description in RNAcentral is "long non-coding RNA (BNAP_LNC015110)". The record is from RNAcentral. Lineage: Eukaryota; Viridiplantae; Streptophyta; Magnoliopsida; Brassicales; Brassicaceae.
GGGGUGAAAAUGCAAUUAAUGUGAUGUAUGUACCUACUUUUGUUCAUAAUAAUAAAAUCGAACAUUGUAUAGGGUGGUUAAUAAGGAGCGGUCGGGUAGUUUAUUUAUUAGUUAGCAAAAACUUGUACUUUUGACCCAAAAUUAUUUUGCGAAAUGAGUAUAUUGGGAGAAAAUAUUAGUCUUGCCGUAAGAGGGUAGAAAGAUAUAGGAAGAAAAAUGAGGAAAGAGGGAGUGAAAUGGUUAGUUGAUGAAAUAUAGUUGUUUUCUUUUGUUAUAGUUUCAAAUUUUCCUUGUUUUAAAUUGCAUUUUUUUAGAAUGUAUAUUUUAUUUUUAGUCAAAUAUCUUUCUCAUUACGUUUAUUUCGAACAUAUAAAA